CAGACUAUCCACUUCUCGCGGCUUACGUUGGCCGACACCGGCCCUCACCUUCUCUCUCUCCCUCUCCCCAUUUGCCGGCUUUUAUAGCCUUAAAAAGAUGGGAAAAAAAUAAUUUAUUAUUCUAAAGAGAGAAGCUAGAGAGAGAGAGAGAGAGACGUUAUAGUUUUACAGCUUUUGAAUCCAAUUCUGGUCCUGUAAAUUGAUACUGCUACGGUACGUGUGUGUGUGAGAGUGAGGUUUGACUUUAUUGACAGACUGAUAGAUAAAUGGUCCAUAAGGGUCCAAGGAAUGGGGAGAUUAAUUCAUAGUUUGGCUUGGUGUUUUUGCUCUAAAACUGGUUAUUGAAGUGACUGUUUCAAAGUGGUGCGGGUCUUCAUUUUGGAGAUUGCAUUAGACAGGUCUGCAAUUGUUUGAGAUACGGUGACACUACCAUGGGUGUCUCUGGGAAAUGGUUUAAAGCAUUGGUUGGUUUAAAGAAGUCAGAAAAGUCACAAUCUUCAGAGAAGGAUGACAAUAGUACCGCUACUCGUAAGUUCCAGCAUAGGAGAAAGCAUGCAGUUGAGGUUGAUGCUGAUAAGCUUCAAGUGGAGUUUAAGGAUAAUGUUGCUGAACCAGUUGGUGAUGCCAAUAUCCAUUCUGUCCCAGAUGCUUCAGAAUCCCCUUCUGCUUCACUUCAAGCACAGUAUGUAGCACAGAAUCAACAAGUUUUGAGAGAAGAAUGGGCCGCCACACGCAUCCAAACAGCUUUUCGAGGAAUUCUGGCUAGAAGAGCUCUACGAGCGUUAAAAGGAUUAGUUAGACUACAAGCACUUGUAAGGGGUCAUGCUGUGAGAAAGCAGGCUGCAAUAACUCUUCGCUGC
Molecule: unclassified non-coding RNA, 860 nt
Filed under: Hevea brasiliensis (rubber tree)
Lineage: Eukaryota; Viridiplantae; Streptophyta; Magnoliopsida; Malpighiales; Euphorbiaceae
Source: RNAcentral